AAUUUCAAAAUGGCGUUCAAACGGCGGUUGGUGGUUGAAGGCUCAGCUGGUCAGUAACGUCGCUGACGCCAACGCGACAACAUGUACUGCUGAUUUCCGACAUCAGCAACAUUGCUCCAGUUGAAGUGGUGUGCUUGGGUUGCGCUAUACUGCUCCUGCAUCAGCUUUGCCAACUCGAGAGUCAAUGACGAUACGAAACAAAUGCUCAGCAGCUUCAUGUUGUCCAUUUCUGCAGUUGUGAUGUCCUACCUUCAAAACUCACAGCCAAUGACACCUCCAUGGUCCAAUAUAUAAACAGUUCUAUAUUAUCGAUUGUUUUUGGUUGAAUGGAAAUGUAUAAUUGCCUCACCAUACUUGUAUUAAAAUUGUACUGCUGAAUGACA
Procambarus clarkii (red swamp crayfish) is the source of this 383-nucleotide non-coding RNA. Lineage: Eukaryota; Metazoa; Arthropoda; Malacostraca; Decapoda; Cambaridae. The record is from RefSeq and is a predicted model, not a curated record.